GAAAAAGCGAUGAAGAUUAAAGGAGUUGGUGAUUAAGAAGGAAGAAGAGGUGGAGAUCAAAAAAUAACAUGAACAAUGCUGGAAAGAAGGGGUCUACGGAUGACAUCUUCCCUGAAACGUCUGCCGAUGUUUCUGAAUUUUCUGAGAAUAUGGGUUAUAUAUCUGAAAUCACUUCAUGGGUAACUCAGAAGCGCAACAAUUUUCCAAUAUAUGAGGAAAAUACAAUGGAGGAUGAACAAGAAUUGGAGAUUAAGAAUGAAGAGGUGGCAGAAAUGAAGUGCAAUAAAGAGCUCGAUUCUUUUGACAAGAUUGCGUUGUACAUGCAGCAAGGGGAAACAAUUAGAUAAGCAAUGCAGAGGCUGGAGGAUGACUCCUUCAUUGAAGCUGUGGGGAUCCUUGUUUCUAUUGGUUAGAACACUCUGGAGCUGUUAGAUUUAAUGAAGAAGGAAGAGUUGGAACGGUAAAGCAACUGCUUAAAUUAAGGCUGUGCGUUUGGAUCGGAUCCAAAUAGAACCGAUUUGAUCCAAGCCAUAUAAGGUGGGUCGGAUCGGGUUUUUUAAAAAAUAUUUUUUUAUAUUUAGGAACCGAUUACUGUUAGAUCUAUAUUAGAAUGAUAUGAACCGUUAGAUUAUUAGGGUAAUUUUUUGAUGGGUUAUUUAGAAUCAAAACAUGCUAUUCUAUUUUCACAAAUCUCCUAGUGCCUUUGAUUUUG
Molecule: RNA transcript, 712 nt
Organism: Argentina anserina (silverweed cinquefoil)
Lineage: Eukaryota; Viridiplantae; Streptophyta; Magnoliopsida; Rosales; Rosaceae
Exons: 4
Source: RefSeq, a predicted model, not a curated record